GUAGUCCACGCCCUAAACGAUGAUAACUCGUUGUUGGCGAUACACAGUCAGCGACUAAGCGAAAGCAUUAAGUUAUCCACCUGGGGAGUACGACCGCAAGGUUGAAACUCAAAGGAAUUGACGGGGGCCCGCACAAGCGGAGGAGCAUGUGGUUUAAUUCGAUGAUACGCGAGGAACCUUACCUGGGCUUGAAAGUUAGUGACAUUCUGUGAAAGCAGAACUUCCGCAAGGACACGAAACUAGGUGCUGCAUGGCUGUCGUCAGCUCGUGCCGUGAGGUGUUGGGUUAAGUCCCGUAACGAGCGCAACCCCUAUCAUUAGUUGCCAUCAGGUCAUGCUGGGGACUCUAAUGAGACUGCCCGCGCAAGCGGUGA
This 373-nucleotide ribosomal RNA is filed under the name uncultured bacterium. RNAcentral describes it as "bacterial SSU rRNA". It matches the Rfam family "Bacterial small subunit ribosomal RNA", at positions 790 to 1167 of the family's 1533-position model. The record is from RNAcentral.